CAAUGAAAGUGCUGGUUCUCAUUCGAUCACCAAAGUUAAGCAACAUUGAGCCUAAUCAGUACUUAGAUGGGAGACCAGAAAUACUAGGUACUGUAA
Non-coding RNA from Acanthosepion pharaonis, 96 nucleotides. The record is from the annotation of a GenBank genome assembly. NCBI's taxonomy places the organism in Eukaryota, Metazoa, Mollusca, Cephalopoda, Sepiida, Sepiidae.